Long non-coding RNA from Dromaius novaehollandiae (emu), 5215 nucleotides. RefSeq lists it as uncharacterized. The record is from RefSeq and is a predicted model, not a curated record. Lineage: Eukaryota; Metazoa; Chordata; Aves; Casuariiformes; Dromaiidae. The transcript is spliced from 15 exons.
AUAGUGCCUUGCGCAGGUCACGUCCCAAACGUGCCCAUGAGGCUGCCAGAGCAGCAAUGACGAGGCAGGCGGCAAGGACUACACUGCCCAUCAUGCCCCGCGCCAACCCGCGCAGGCAGCCGCUGCCAGGGCAGGCCCGGGCGCCCCGCCCGCGGCAGCAGAGCUCGGCGGCGGCUCUGCCACCUGUUUGCCGACAGGGCGGGCUGCGGAGCGCGGCAGGGGUGGCAGCGGCAGCUCUGUGCGCCGGGAGCUCAGCGAGGCUCCCAGGCGGACAGACCGCCGGAGGCAGGAACCUGGGAAGGGAGAGGGUGCCUCUUCGGCGCCCAUUUAUAACGAGUGAGAGUAGCAAGCAGUAACAGUGUUCUUCACAUGGGAGAGCACUGUAAAACCAGUAGAAUUUGGACUUCUACCCAAAUGCUGGCUGAAGGUUAUUUUGCCCACUGCGACUGGGCCUACAGGCUCUGAAGUGAACAUCUGUGCCUCUACAGCUAAGAGACUUCUUAAUAGCCUGUUGAUAGAUCUAAUAGAAAAAACCCAGAAAUGUUCAUUGGAGCUUUUGGAAACAUUUUUGAAUCAGAGAUAAGUUUAAUUCCUGGCCACAGAUCUGAUUCCUGAUAAGUUAGAUGAUAGUUGAAGGUACCAGUAUCCAGUCUGGUCUAUGUGGAAGAGUUGAUGGAUCUCUGUUUAUUUAGGGUACAGUUUGGUCAAUAUGAACUUGUAGCAGUGAUGCUUGAUUACAUACACACUUUUCUAAUAAAAGUUGCUUCAAAAAUGUUUCAGCAUAAGCAGCAUCCUGAGCAACCAUGAAAGAAAAUUACAAAGGGAUCUUUGGCAUCUUCCUGUACUGAGAUGCUGUGUUUUGUGUACUCUGGAUAAAGCUCAAGUCUUGACCUUGGACCAGAAAAUUUUUUGAUGCUCUGCCAACUUUCAAAAUCAGAGAAAUUUAGCAUCAACUAGGAGAGAAUUAAAGCAAAAUAUUAAUUUUUUAUACAGUGCCUAGUCCUUUAAUACUUGGACAAGAGCAUAAAACAUCUGUGUUGGCCAGCUGUGGGUGCCUAUGGAUGAGGAAAAGAACUUGAAAAAGAAAAAAAAAGAAAAAGAAAAAGAAUUCUGGUUUAAAACAUAACAUGCUGACAGCAACUGAAGUCUCUCUAAUGGCCUGUCUAGUCUGGACUAUCCAGUGUGUCUUCCACGAACCCUGGAUUUUUCUGACACUAAAUAUCAUCUGACAUCCACCAAUGUAAGUAGAGGGAAAAGGAGCGGAAUCUAAAAUGUCAAAACACAUCACUGAAAGAUUACAAAGGCAUCUGUCUCAGCUAGGGAAGAAGAACCAGAACUGUCCAGCUCUGAAUAUAAUGUUACUGAAUCCUGAAUGCAUGACUCUCGAUCUGGUUCCUGUUCCGGAAAUCUCAAGCUCAUGGCCUUAUUCAAGGAGUGUGAGGAAGCAUGUAAAAAAGUGGAUGGGAAAGAAAACCAUGCAACAGAUAAAUAAUUCAUCUUACUACAGUGCUGAUCAGCCGCCUGGGGGGAUAACAAAUGUAUGAGACCUGGAGAAUUUCUAUCUUUCCUAAUGAAAAGAAGAUUUUGAAUAACCAUAGCAACAGUAAAACCUGCUGUGAAUCUUACAGCACCAAGUGUUGCAGGACUGUCUGCAAAGGUCUCCUGUUAGUCUCUGCAACCAUCUGUUAUUCUGUUUCAGCAGUCCAAAACAUCAAACAGACUUUUUUUUUUAAGCAGUUGCCAAUUUCACUGAAAGAGAAGGACCUCAUGAAGAAGAGGAGAACAGAAUAAACAACAAAGAUGCAGAAAGAAAAGUUGCAAGCUGAUGGAGAAGCUUUUAUGCUUGCUGACAAGUUUAAAUGAAAGCUCAAAUAUCCCUUUCUGAGUAGGUGGCAGCGUCGCUCCUAUCCACCCUCAAGCUGACACUCCAGGUUUCACUUGACUAGAGUCACAGAGCACAUUCCCUGAGUGCGGAGAGAGAAGACAGAAAGAUGGAUAGUAAUUGCACACAAAUAAUACCAGACUCUCUUGAAUGACACCAGUUCAGUAUUCCCCAACAAGCAUGAUAUUUCCUUUUAUAUUUUUAAUAACACUAAGGGAGGAGAAACACAGAUCAUGAGAUGCAGAGACUCUAGUGCCAGCCACAGCUAGAAUAUCUGGUUUUGUUGUUGCUGUUGGCUUGUACCCUCCUGGAAGAAAGAAGAAAUGAGACAGACGUCUGAGAUCCAUGACAAGUACUGGUUGCAGCCACAGCAAGUUGGUUGCAUUCAUUUUCUUUAAAAGUCUGUUCUUACUGUCUGUGCAUUAAUGAUUUUGCUAUUUAUUAUCUGAUAAACAAAGGAUUGGCCGUCUGCAAGAAGCAAAUAAUGAGAGGCUAUACCCAGGAGAAUUUAAAAUCACUACAUCCAAACAGGAAGAACCUCAUGGGGAGGUCCCUGAGGAGGUGUUAACUUAGGAUGCCAUCUAUCUAUCAGUGUGUUGCAUCAAAUUAUGUACAUGCCAUGCACUGAUGAAGAUUAACGUUCGUGGUCUCACAAGGAAGAAAUGGCCUGGCCCAGCUCCAGCUCGUCAUUCUGGGAGGAGGCACUGAGAAACCUUGGCCCUGAAUUGAUUUAGCCAAAGUGAGCCAGAGGACACCCAGAUGCUUCGCAGGAGGGGGAUCAAAUCUGUACUGAGGCUGAGGUUUAAUGUCUCUGUGGGUUUUCCUUCGUGACCCUACACAGUGAUUAUCCAGGGGCAUCUUGAGGAAUCAUAUUUGGAGAACUGCAUGAAAGCAAGCUGGCAGAUGCCAUAGUGAAUUGGCAAGUUUUUAUAUGCCUCUCCUAAGUGACAUGUGCCCUCCAUGGCUAACAGCUGGCUGAGAUCCUCUCUGUACACCGGGAUAACCAUAGCGCGGGGAUAUUUGAAGCCAGCUGCUGCAAGAGGAUUCCAAUGGACACCACGUACGAGUGUGGUAAAGGAUGUUCCCUGACCUUCUGCUUCCCACAGAAAGGGAGAGAACUGCUUCUUCUCAAAGUCAAAGACAGAGGAAAAGCUCAUCCUUAUGAGCAGAGCACCAUGUGGCAGGACUUUUUCUCCACACUGUGCAGUGUCAGAUUCCCUCGAAAAGCACAGCGAUUUCGGCAAGGUUGGACAAUGCUUUGGGCAAGCUGGGCAGAGCAUAAUACCUAGCGUUAAUUAGCGAUUACAGGCACAUGAUUGUUAAUGCAGUGUUAAUUGUGAUGAUAUUUCAGUAAUUUGCUCAAUAUCUUCCAGGCAAUUUGUCCAACCCAGUGGCUGAGUGGUCAGCAUGAGGAGCUCAUUUCAAUGGAGCAGGGGAGAGGCAAAAUCUAUAUUGCCUGGGGCCUCAAAAUAGCUGGGGCUGAACUUGAAUUUUAAAUCCAGUCGAAGAGCAUGGAAGAAGGAUGUUUGUUACAUAUAGAUCAGGUGUAACACGGCCUGCUAACAUACAGGAUUUAAUCCACCUCCACCCACAGCUUUUCUCAAAGCUGAAAAGGAAACUAAUCACUUGCCCCAGACAGGCUAGACAGGAAGCAGAUUUUCCACGUUGUCAGAGAUUCUGCUGUACUUAAUCCUUCAUUCCCUACAGGUGGGCUGCUAAUCCAGGCUAAUCCAUUAACAGUGUUGUGGGUGCUGAUGAGGCUGUGUCACCUCUGUAGGAGCUAGGGGAGGUCAGGAAUCAGCAAAGAUGUAUUUGUACAAUGCUGCUAUGAGGAAUUACCACCCUGGUCAGGGGCAGUCCUUUAUCUCUGUACUUCACAGACAGCACUGUGCAUGAGCUUUCUGAGUGCCACUGUGCUCUCGUAGCAAGUUCUUAUCACCUGUUUCACAUAUGUCUGGGAUUGUCUUUUUUGUAUUAUUCUGAAUUAUCAUUGCUUUAUCAGAGUUAGCUCAUUUCUACCUUAUCCUGGACAGUUAUGCAUUGAUUGUAUCUCAUAAUUUUCUCCUGUUCCCAAAGAGGAUAAAAUAUUUAUUAUUUUUAUUAUCUUUAUAAAUAUAUUUUAUUUUUAUAUGUCCUAUGGAAAAAAAGUAACCGCCUCAGACUGAUUUGACUGUUUUGUUUUGAGUGUUUUUUUUUUUAUAAGGUACACAAAAAGAUAAUAGUUCUAAAGAGGAAACUUUCCAUCUGGAAAUGCUGAAAGAAAUACGACAUUUCGAUGAUAUCACAAUGUUUUGUUUCCUUUCUCUUCAAAAUGAAAUCUUAAAUCAACAUGUUUAUCAAGAAAAAUAAUCAGAGAAAAGCAUUUUCUGCUAAUACUUUCAUGAGAAAUUGAUGACAAAAGGAAGAACUGGAAAGGUAGUCCAGUUACCCCAGCCGCUUCACAACGUAGGAUAGCUUGUCACCCAGGUACUGACUAAAGGCCGUGGCUUACUAUGAUAUAUGGUUACCUGUUUAGUGGGACUAGUACUGAGACUCUCUGACACAUUGCAUAUAUGUCACCAAAAAUUAUGUGGCAGCAAGAGCCUGUGGUUACUGUGUGCCACAGUCACCACUGAUGUGGUGACACUGGAGUUUCUGCUCUCACAGACAUUGAGUGGCUGCAGAAAGUAAGGCUUGGUCCAUAUUUAGGGAUUUGAAUUUCACACACCAUUAUUUCUCUAGUGAAUCAUGCAUACACUUCUCUUUGUUGUAUAUUGCCUGCAUAUAUGUAUGAUUUUGUAUAUAUAUAUUUGUGUAGAAUUUAUAUGGUUGCAUUUUGCAAAAAUCUGAGCCUCAGAAGAUCUUCAAUUCUUUACAGAUAUCGGUCCCUGAAAAGAAGUCUUUAGAGGGUAUAUACAAAGUCAGUUUAAAAAGAGGCCUUUGUGUCAAAGGAUUGGGGGUGAAUGGAAACAAGACAUGUAAUAUAGGGAGAGCUAUGGUAAGCUUCAUUUUGCAUUAUUUGCACAUAUGUUUAACUUGCAAUGCUACUAAAUCAGUUUUUUUAACAGAUAACUUGCUAAAGACAGUACUUAACUUUUCACACUAUCUUAAUAAACAAAUGAGAAAAUUUUGGGUUUUCUUAUCUUUUUGUGCAGCUCUGGAUCAGUCGUAUAAAUAUACUCACAGUAGCCUCUGUCUAGUGGUAAUCUGGAGCAUAGGACUGGGUAGGUUAAUAAAAGAAAUACAUUUCUUCAUUCCGUUAUGUGACCAGGGAAAAGGUAAUUGGAAAUACCUGAGUAUUUAUAUUUCUUUCUAAAAGUGAUUCCACUGGUAAAUUAACUUUAUUUCUUUGCA